UGACGGGUCUACUGCAAGUGAACCUGGCUCUCCAGAUAACAGGUGUCUCAGGAACCUCAUGGGCAAGAGACGGAAAACCGGCGCAGAUUCAUGAGACCAUAAGGCAGAUCCAGAAUAAAGAGAGUCGCACAUGAAACGUCCACCAGCUUUCCAUCUCCAAAUGUUAAUGUGGCUUCCGUGGACGGUAACAUGUAGAAAACCCCCUUCUGGUUCUGCUUUAUGGCCUCUUGAAUUUGCGCCGCCUUUAGGGUCUCUUUUUUACACUCGUAGAGCAGGUAAAUUCUCAUUUUUUACUAGACUGAAGGUUAGUAUUCUUGUUUUCGUAUCUAGACUUCAAGGUGUAUUAUUGUGUAGAUGUUAGAAGGUUUUUAUUAUAGAAUAGACCCUCACGAGAGUCUACAUCCUUAGGAGCAUGGAAAUUAGAUAUUCAUGCUCCUAGGAAUGUAGACUUGUAUCUGAUGGUCAUCAGAUUGAAGACUAACUGUGAAACCUUCCAGCAAGGAAGAUUUCACAGUCUGACGUUAUGCUCGAAGCCGGAGCUACUCUAAUCAAUGACCUUAAGUCGGAACUACGUAGCAUCUAAGUCAAAUCCAAAUACAUUUAGAUUCAUAACGUAUCUUUCAUAAAUUAAUCUUAAAUUUGAAUCGCAGAACCUUAGAUUGGUAGUUCAGAGAGGUGAGAGGAUAUAGAGCAUGUUGCCUGCUAGAGUAGAGUUGUACAGAAAAAGUCGACCAGCUUUUGCAAUUCCAAAUACUAACCCGGCUUCUCGGAACACGGACAUGUGGGUGGUCCAUUACCUGGUCUGGUCGAGUUCCUAUUGAAUCAGCGCCGCCUUUCCGUCUGUUGCCCACGAAGCUCCUGAGAUAUUUAUUUCCUGGAGAUUCAAGUUCACUUGGAGUAGCCCCAUCA
Non-coding RNA from Marchantia polymorpha subsp. ruderalis, 909 nucleotides. NCBI's taxonomy places the organism in Eukaryota, Viridiplantae, Streptophyta, Marchantiopsida, Marchantiales, Marchantiaceae. The record is from the annotation of a GenBank genome assembly.